RNAcentral lists this ribosomal RNA (252 nucleotides) under uncultured bacterium. Its description in RNAcentral is "partial 16S ribosomal RNA". It matches the Rfam family "Bacterial small subunit ribosomal RNA", at positions 524 to 776 of the family's 1533-position model. The record is from RNAcentral.
UACGGAGGAUGCGAGCGUUAUCCGGAUUUAUUGGGUUUAAAGGGUGCGUAGGCGGGUUAUCAAGUCAGCGGUAAAAUCGUGGAGCUCAACUCCAUCCAGCCGUUGAAACUGAUGAUCCUGAGUGGGCGAGAAGUAUGCGGAAUGCGUGGUGUAGCGGUGAAAUGCAUAGAUAUCACGCAGAACUCCGAUUGCGAAGGCAGCAUACCGGCGCCCGACUGACGCUGAAGCACGGAAGCGUGGGUAUCGAACAGG